RNAcentral lists this ribosomal RNA (163 nucleotides) under Pickeringia montana. Its description in RNAcentral is "5.8S ribosomal RNA". It matches the Rfam family "5.8S ribosomal RNA". Rfam says of the family: 5.8S ribosomal RNA (5.8S rRNA) is a component of the large subunit of the eukaryotic ribosome. It is transcribed by RNA polymerase I as part of the 45S precursor that also contains 18S and 28S rRNA. The record is from RNAcentral. Lineage: Eukaryota; Viridiplantae; Streptophyta; Magnoliopsida; Fabales; Fabaceae.
AUGACUCUCGGCAACGGAUAUCUCGGCUCUUGCAUCGAUGAAGAACGUAGCGAAAUGCGAUACUUGGUGUGAAUUGCAGAAUCCCGUGAACCAUCGAGUCUUUGAACGCAAGUUGCGCCCGAAGCCAUUAGGUUGAGGGCACGCCUGCCUGGGUGUCACACAU